UCAAGAAGCAUCUAAAGAGCUUUCUUAUCAGCGAGAUGAUCAAACAGAGAUCCACUGAGAGACCCAUUAACUUCAGUGAUAUAGCAGUGACCUCUGACCUUCACUGGAGGCGCAGACAGAAAUCCUUUGAUCCACGCAUUAACUUUUAGUAUGGAGAAGAUACAUGAGACAGUGAGAUCUGUGGCAUCCUCUACAUCCCACUAACAGACUCACAUCAGUUCAUUCUGGACCGGGCCGAGGGAAAAGACAAUCCGGAUGUAGAUUUCAAGAGCUGAACUUGAUCCAAGAUCAUCAGUACACAGAGGUGUAAAGAAUUCGAGUAAAUGUAAUUAAUUACUGUACUUGAGUAUCUUUUUAGAUACUCUGUAGUUUUACUGAUUAUCAAAGAUAUAAGCAGCUUUUAUUCUCUACUUCACUUCAUUUUUGAAUAAGCAUCUGUCCUCUUUACUCCACUACUUUUGAAACGAGUGAGUGUUUCAGUUACACAUUACAUUUUGCACGGCACAUAGGUUUUUCUGCAGUAGUUUAUUUCUGCUACAAAAGAAGUGUACUGUCUACUACAGGAAGUACACAAAGUACUAUAUCUUAUGAGUUUUGCCCUUACUCACCCAAACGUGUCAACAAGGCUACUUUACAUUAAUGUAAGUUUCUUAGCAUGUAGUUGUGAAGUAGAUUUAGAAAAUGAACACGAUUGUUCUCUUCACAAAUAUACUGUUUCUUGUUUUUCUUACAUAUUCUCUGUGCCUUGUCUUGGACUUUUAUGUCACUUCCUGUCUUUUUAUCUUGUUAAGCUUGAUAGCCCCCUGUGUGUGUAUGUAUAUAUAUAUAUAUAUAUUUGUUUAGUUCCUUGUGAGUCGUUAAAUGUAAUGGUUGUCUGUUUGCCUGUCAUUCUGUAGUUUGUUCGCUGUGGUUUUUGGUUUAUUGAAAACUAAGGGUGACAGAGCCUUUUCAGUCACUGCCCCCCGUCUGUGCAUCCAAUUGCCUCUAGACUGCCGCCUUGCACCUUCCAUUACCAUUUUUAAAUCCAGGUUAAAAACGUAUCUUUUCUCCUUAGCAUUUUAAUUUCACUUCAUUGUUGUUUUAUUGUAUUAUACAGUAUGUCUUGUUUGCUUCUUUUCUGCGUUUCCUUUUCUCUUUUAAUUUUAUUUUACAUUAUUCAGCAC
Cyprinus carpio carpio is the source of this 1163-nucleotide long non-coding RNA. NCBI's taxonomy places the organism in Eukaryota, Metazoa, Chordata, Actinopteri, Cypriniformes, Cyprinidae. The record is from Ensembl.